AUUGAACGCUGGCGGCAUGCCUUACACAUGCAAGUCGAACGGUAACGGGCCUUCGGGUGCCGACGAGUGGCGAACGGGUGAGUAAUGUAUCGGAACGUACCUUUCAGUGGGGGAUAACGUAGCGAAAGUUACGCUAAUACCGCAUAUUCUGUGAGCAGGAAAGCGGGGGAUCGCAAGACCUUGCGCUGAUUGAGCGGCCGAUAUCAGAUUAGCUAGUUGGUGAGGUAAAGGCUCACCAAGGCGACGAUCUGUAGCGGGUCUGAGAGGAUGAUCCGCCACACUGGAACUGAGACACGGUCCAGACUCCUACGGGAGGCAGCAGUGGGGAAUUUUGGACAAUGGGGGCAACCCUGAUCCAGCCAUGCCGCGUGAGUGAAGAAGGCCUUCG
Molecule: ribosomal RNA, 388 nt
Filed under: uncultured bacterium SA11
Lineage: Bacteria
Also listed under: 1 other name
Description: bacterial SSU rRNA
Rfam family: Bacterial small subunit ribosomal RNA
Source: RNAcentral